CCUCUGGGUCGUCCCAGUGCACUAGCCCCAAGCAUCCAGUAUCGUGCAUCGAACCUGGACUGGCAACUCGUUUCUUACAUGAUAUUUUACAUGUUUCAAUGUCAUUCUCCCAAAUCUUCCCACCCUCUCCCUCUCCCACAGAGUCCAUAAGACUGUCCUAUACAUCAGUGUCUCUUUUGCUGUCUCGUACACCGGGUUAUUGUUACCAUCUUUCUAAAUUCCAUAUAUAUGCGUUAGUAUACUGUAUUUAUGUUUUUCCUUCUGGCUUACUUCACUCUGUAUAAUAGGCUCCAGUUUCAUCCACCUCAUUAGAACUGAUUCAAAUGUAUUCUUUUAUUUUUAUAUGUACCAAUCUUAAUCUGAUUCUAGAGCUAUUAGGCUUAAAAUAAAGUAACCUUAUCCAAUGGUAGAAUAUGAGGUUUGCCAUGUGGAGGUGAACAACAUUCCAUAGACCAGUGGAACUAAUUUGCCUUGCUGCCUGAGUGUAUGAUGUAACAGCAAGCAAUCUACUUGAAGACUUGGGGCUGAGUCCAGGCUUCCUUUUUAUUUAAUCUUCUGACCCUGGUUAAGUGAUUUAAUUUCUGUGGUUCUUCAUCCAAUCUUAAAACAGCACUCACUCCAAACAAAGAACUGACAGAUAAGAACAUGAUAAAAUAGGCAAAUAGAAUACCUUGGGAAAAUUUGUCAGGUAGUGACAUGGAUGGUAUGUAUUUGAUAUUAAUGGGUAAAAUUAAAAAGAAAAAGAAAACAUGUAUUUUAGCAGGAAUUCUAGGAGGGAAGAAAAAGCCAUUGUAACUUUCAUAAAAUGAAUGAAAAUGGAAAUGAAAAAAAAUUUGUGCAGGUGAAACAAUUUGUUACAUAGUUGCCUAUAAAAUACAAAGCAAGAGUUUAGUUACACAGGUUCAUUGAAUAAACAUCUGACUACAUACUUGAGGAAAACUAAGUCACACCAAAGCACCAUGAGGGAUUCCAGCAAUGAUUUAAUAGUUCAAAGUGUGACAUUAUUUGGAAUGUAAAAAAUAUAGCCUUAUAGACCUACUCUUAAGAAGUUUAUCAUCAAAUUCAUAAGAGAUAAUUAGACAAACUAUUAAUAUAAUUAUUCUUAUUUUGGAAAGAACUUGUCCCAAAUGUAACUCAUUUGGUAGUAUUACCUUACCUGACAUAUAUUAUUCAAAUAUGGACUAUAAGGAUAUUGGAAAAUUGUAUCUCAGUGAUUAGGCAUGAAAAUGAUAACACAUCUCACAAAAGAAAUACAAAUGGCCAGUUGAUAUAUGAAAAAGUCCUCAUCGGCAUCAGCAAUUAGGGAAAUGCAAGCUCAAACUCCCACCAGACUGGCAAGACAGAAAAGGACUGACUAUAUCGAUUGUGGUUGAGGGUGUGGACAUGAGGUUCAUACAAUGCUGGUGUGAGUGUAACACUUUAGAAAACAGCUUGGAAUUAUUCAUUCAAAUCUAGAACACAUGUAACUACUCCCAGGUAUACACCAUACAGAAACUCAGAUGUGAUGGAAUACAUAUGCAAGAAAUAUUUAUAGCAGUAUUUACAACAAUUUCAAACUGGAAACAACCCAGAUAUUCAUCAACAAUAGAAUGGCUAAAUAAAUUAUGCCAUAUUGCUAUAAUGGAACACCAUAAAACAGCAAUUAAAAUGAACAAACUACAGUUAUAUGAACAACCCAAACAACGUAUGACGGGUUAAAAAACAUGUUGAGCAAAAGCUGUAAUCAAAACAGGUUACAUACUGUUGUUCCAAGACAAAGGGCAAAACCAAAUAAUAUGUUGUUUAGAGAUACACAUGCUUGUAAUGAAACUAUAGAGAAAAGCAAGGAAAUGGCUAUCACUAAAGUCAGAAUAACAGUUACCUCAAAAAGGGGGGGAAAGAGUUGUAUUCAGGAAGGCCACUGGGGUACUUCUAGGGUGCUGGAAAUGUUCCAUUUCUUGACCUGGUUGGUUACAUGGAGGCUUCUUUUACAAUUACUCCUUUUACUGAGUAACUGCUUUAUGCAUUUUAAUGCAUAUUUCACAAUCAAACCACUAAAAGUAAUUGAAUAUUGUAGAUGGAAUUUCUAGAAAGAAAUACUGCUAGAGAAUUUAGCUUAUGAAAUCUUUUACAGCAAAAACUACUGGUGUGGGAUAAUGAAGCUGAUAAAAUGGUUUCUCAUACGAGCUCACUUUCAAGUGUAGGAGAAAAGAACCCUAUACAAAUAUCCCUCUGUUAUAUUUUAACAUACUACCCAGAUCCUUAUUAUACACAAACUGAUGAGCCAGGGAAAGAACUCUGUAUCCUAAAACUUCAGAUUUCUUUUUUUGAAUUUCGAAUGAACCAGUUGUUUUCUUCUCUGGAGUAGUAAGAAAUGAAAGCACUGAAGAGAUGCAGACCAAGUUGGCAAUGUAGGAGCUUCCUGUUCUGCAGCCGCCAGUUCCAGCUGUUUCCUCCAGUCAGCAUACCGGGUGGUGAACUGGGUGGGUCUUGCCUAGUAAGCUAGUGCAGCUGGAAGUUCAUCAGUAGUUGGCUGAGGGCUCUCCUCCCUGCUACGCUGCCUCUCAGCACCAAGGUUCUCUGGUGGAACCACUGACAACGAAAACCAAUCAGGCUGCUGAAAAGCUCCAUGUGGUUGGUUACACACUGCCCUGGAGGUGUCCUCUGCUGGGUUGCAGAGCUCUGAUGUUUGCAUUUCUUCUAGCCAAAGUUAACAGAAAUCUGUGGUGCUAGGCUUUACAAAAUCCCCUCAAUCUGUGUAUUUUAUUCCUUCAAUUUCCAUCAAAAAAUUAGGAAGAGGAGCAAAACCCCAAAUGAUUUACACAUGUAGCCAUGUGGGGCCAUCACUUGCUGUUCAGAUUCCUUGUGAGUCUUAUCUGGAAGGAUCCGGCAGGGACCAGUCAUAAGAAGAGAGUCAAAUCUAGGGUAACUUAAACACAGGAGGGUUAACCUGGCUCUUAGAACUUGGAUGAACGGGCAAGAGCUACUUUAUCAGUCUCUUCUUGCUUUGGCAAUAUCCGUCCCCACCCCCUCCUUCCAUUACUUUUUCUGCAGCAUUUUAAUAAAAACGAGCCCUUGUAUUUUACCCAGUUACAAGGUUCCUUGAUGUAUUUGCAUAUGGUGGUGGCAGCAGGGGCAGAAACUCUGAGCUCCCCAGAUCUUUAUAUAAAAACCUGCCCCUAUCCCCUGAGGUAGAAAGAUCCGUAACAGUCACUAUCGCUGCUUCCGGAAGAGGUAAGGCGCGCCAGGGUCCAGAGACCCAACUGCGGAAUCUGCUUCCUUUCGUCCCUGCUUUUAUCCCCUUCUCACACUAUUCAUCAGGACAGGUGCAAGACAGAUUUCUGAGGAAUCUGAAAUCGUUUUAUCUUAAAAUUUCCUGUCCUAGAGAACUACACUGUCAACUUCAUGAGUUUUUACUUGAAUUUACUUUCCAGGAUAACACCUGUAGGAAAACCAGUAUAAAUAGUAAUAAUAUUUAUUUUAGAAAGGAAAUAGCCUUUGAGUCAGACCUGAAACACAGGCCAAAAUUUCUUGAUUACAGUAAUGGACACCGAUUAACAACCAAUACCAGCUUUCCAAAGCUCCAAGCCACAAACAUGAAUGAUUCCUAAAAGGGAAUCAGUACUAAAUCCUCUUCCUGAAAAGUCAAAAAUACUGCCACAAUCCCUGGGAGGACGGCUCCCUUCUUUCGUCCCAGCAGUUCGCCUCUUUUUUCACUUAAGACUCAGGUUGGGACUCAUUUCAACCGCAGCCCCAUUUCCUUCGGGGGGAGAGGGGUAAGAGGGAUGUGUUACAACUCGCAUCUUUACAAAUGCUACGCAGUUUACAAAGAGCUUGGACUUCCGUCAAACUCCUCUGAGCUCCGCGAGUGAGGGAGCCAUUCAUUCAUUCAUCAAACAUUUGCUCUGCCUGACCACGCGUCAUCGGGCGCUGGUGUCCCUCCACACCAGGGGAAGGGUGGGGCGCUCGCGCCCUCGAGCAGGUGCGGCAGAUCAAGCUGUAAGAUAACUUCUCGAGCAGCUGGGCUUUCCGAAGGCCCGUUUGGGGCCAAAUGCCUCACCUUCGGGUGGUGCGCGCCCGAGCAUGGCCGCGCGGCCUGGGCCUCCUCCUUGCUCCCCAAGGAGCAGUCACCACCUGCUCUGAAGGAAACCGCUACAGAGCAAGCUCUCUCCACCGCCCUCGGGUCAGGGGUAAGCUCAGGCGGCAGCUUAGGCUCCACGCGGCUCCUCCCCUUCCUCUCUUCUGUUCUGACGCGGCCGUAGAGGCGGCGGCAGCGACACCGAGUCCGCGGCCCGAGGCGCACCCACCCGCUCGCCGAGCCCGACUUCCUCUUCCCUUGGAGCGUCAUCAGAGCGCGCCAGAGGCGCCUAGGGCGGGGUGGUCGGAAAGGUGAAAAAAGACUAGGGGAGUGAGCCUCCGAGCGGAGAGAGAAGGGAGGGGGUGGGGGAGAGAGCGGUUGCUAGGUGACUUGCGUCAUUGUUGCGCGCCGUUUUCCUCCCGCCCCUCUCUCUGGAGUGAGGCGAGAGCCCCGCACUAAGCGAGGGAGACAGCGAGCUGAGCUCCGGGCGCUACCGCCGCCGCCGCCGCCGCGAGCGUGAGAGCCAGGGAGCAUCUGAGAGACCCAGCGCCCGUGCACCGGCCGCCGCCAGGACCUCUGCCCUGACCUGGGCCGGCGGGAGCCGCGGCCACCUCUCUUCUCCCCCCCUCACCUUCCCGGCCGGCAGCCGCGGCUGCACACGCCGGAGCCCGAGCCGGAGCCGGUGGCUGGGGGGCAGGGAGGUGGCUACCUCGGACCGGGACUAGUCCGCUGCUCCGCGGGGAGAGGACGCUGAGGAGGGGCCGGAGCUUCUGUUGGUCCCGGGGCGCGGGGCGAGGGACCCCCAAGGUGGAGGGCGGGGGUCCCAGCCGCAGCGACACAUGCGGGAGCCGGGAGCGGGGGCGGCGCCGAGCGGAGCCGGCCGGGUCCCCCACCUCGCCGCCGCCUCGGCCACCCGCCCGGGGCCGUAGCAUCUCGCCGCGGAGUGCAUGAGCCGGGGCUCCACGCCGGGCAGACGCCCCCCGGCUGGGGGGGCGGGGACCCCGAUGUGAAGCGGCGGCCGGGGCGGCGGGGACAGCGGGACCGACGCCGCCGUCCUUCCCUUCCCUCCCCCGCCCCUCUGCCCCCUCGGGGGGUCUCCGUUCUCGGCCCGUCGCCGGCCCCCCGGCUCCUCGGCAAGGACUCCGGGAGGAGUUCUUAGAGCCCCCUCCCUGCCCCAGCCCCGAGGGCGGCGGGGCCGGGGGGGACCCGGGGGGCCGGCCGCAGCCUCCGCCCAGAAGAAACUUUAUAAAACAAAAAUCCGGAGCCUCCCAAACGGGACUGUCGGGGAGAAGUGGCCCGGGACGGGCAGAAGACCCAGCCUGAAGAGACCCAGGAAGAGGAAAAGAGGAGGUAAGCCGGGCCGCCGCUGCCGCCUCUGCUCCGGCCGCGCGGAAGAGACCCGGGUGGCCGCCCGGCUUGGCGGUCCCAGCCCCGCUUCUUGCUCAGCAACGCGCCGGAGCUGCCGCGGCUGCCGCCUCGGUCCCUAGGAGGACAGGAAACAGCCCGCUUUCUCAGCGCCGCCGGUUCUUUUCUAAAGUGCCUCACUAUUCCUUGAGACACAACAGUAUUGAAAUCAGCCAAUUGAUAAGCCUGCAAUGACUCCAAUGUUGAAGUGAAGAGGAAGACUUGCAUGUCUCUCACUUUAAAUCGAAAGCUAGAAACAAUUAAGCACAAUGAGGAAGACAUCCUGAAGCUGAGAUAGGCUGGAAACGAGGCCUCUUGAGUCAGUGAGCCAAGUUGUCAGGGAAGGAAAAGUGCUUAAAGGAAAUUCAAAGUGCUGCUCCAGUGAAUAGACGAAUGAGAAAGCAAAACAGCUUGCUGCUGAUAUCGAGAAAGUUGUAGUGGUCUGGAGAGAAGGUCAGACCAGCCACAACAUUCAUUCUCUUAAGCCAAAGCCUAACCCAGAGCAAGGCCCUAAGUCUCUUCAAUUCCCUGAAGGCUGAGAGCAGUGAACCAUUUCUUGACUGGAUUGUGAUGUGAGAUGAAAAGUGGAUUUUAUCCAAUGACCAGCAACCACCAACUCAGUGGUUGAACCGAGAAGAAGCUCCAAAGUACUUCCCAAAGCCAAACUUGCACCAAAAAAAGGUCACUGCCACUGUUUGGUGAUCUGCUGAUGUUCUGAGCUGCUGCAGCUUUUUGAAUCCUGG
Bos taurus (domestic cattle) is the source of this 6204-nucleotide long non-coding RNA. Lineage: Eukaryota; Metazoa; Chordata; Mammalia; Artiodactyla; Bovidae. The record is from Ensembl.